This 446-nucleotide ribosomal RNA is filed under the name uncultured bacterium. Its description in RNAcentral is "SSU rRNA". It matches the Rfam family "Bacterial small subunit ribosomal RNA", at positions 26 to 518 of the family's 1533-position model. The record is from RNAcentral.
AGAAUGAACGCUGGCGGCAUGCCUAACACAUGCAAGUCGAACGAAGCCUUCGGGCUUAGUGGCGCACGGGUGCGUAACGCGUGGGAAUCUACCCUUGGGUUCGGAAUAACAGUUAGAAAUGACUGCUAAUACCGAAUGAUGUCGUAAGACCAAAGAUUUAUCGCCCAGGGAUGAGCCCGCGUAGGAUUAGCUAGUUGGUGAGGUAAAAGCUCACCAAGGCGACGAUCCUUAGCUGGUCUGAGAGGAUGAUCAGCCACACUGGGACUGAGACACGGCCCAGACUCCUACGGGAGGCAGCAGUGGGGAAUAUUGGACAAUGGGCGAAAGCCUGAUCCAGCAAUGCCGCGUGAGUGAUGAAGGCCUUAGGGUUGUAAAGCUCUUUUACCCGGGAUGAUAAUGACAGUACCGGGAGAAUAAGCUCCGGCUAACUCCGUGCCAGCAGCCGC